UACAGAGGUCCCGAGCGUUGUUCGGAUUCACUGGGCGUAAAGGGUGCGUAGGUGGUGAAGUAAGUCGGAUGUGAAAUCUAGGAGCUUAACUCCGAAACUGCAUUGGAAACUACUUUGCUCGAGGGUUGGAGGGGGGACUGGAAUUCUCGGUGUAGCAGUGAAAUGCGUAGAUAUCGAGAGGAACACCAGUGGCGAAGGCGAGUCCCUGGACAACUCCUGACACUGAGGCACGAAAGCUAGGGGAGCAAACAGG
Molecule: ribosomal RNA, 253 nt
Filed under: uncultured bacterium
Lineage: Bacteria
Description: partial 16S ribosomal RNA
Rfam family: Bacterial small subunit ribosomal RNA
Source: RNAcentral